CAAUCACUUGUCUUUUAAAUAAAGACCUGUAUGAAUGGCAUAACGAGGGCUCAACUGUCUCCUCUCCCCAGUCAAUGAAACUGAUCUCCCCGUGCAGAAGCGGGGAUACCGCCAUAAGACGAGAAGACCCUAUGGAGCUUUAGACACCAGGCAGCCCACAUAAUAAACCCCUUUUACCAGAAUAAGAAUUAGUGGCCCCUCCUUGCUUGUCUUUGGUUGGGGCGACCGCGGAGAAUAAAAAAGCCUCCAUGUGGACUGAGAACACUACUCUUACAGCCAAGACCCACAACUCUAAGCAACAGAAUUUCUGACCAUAAAUGACCCGGCCUUAUGCCGAUCAACGGACCAAGUUACCCUAGGGAUAACAGCGCAAUCCCCUCCCAGAGUCCC
This 390-nucleotide ribosomal RNA is filed under the name Polyipnus stereope. Its description in RNAcentral is "partial 16S ribosomal RNA". It matches the Rfam family "Bacterial large subunit ribosomal RNA", at positions 1962 to 2502 of the family's 2925-position model. Lineage: Eukaryota; Metazoa; Chordata; Actinopteri; Stomiiformes; Sternoptychidae. The record is from RNAcentral.